This 233-nucleotide ribosomal RNA is filed under the name uncultured bacterium. Its description in RNAcentral is "partial 16S ribosomal RNA". It matches the Rfam family "Bacterial small subunit ribosomal RNA", at positions 101 to 334 of the family's 1533-position model. The record is from RNAcentral.
CGUAACGGGUGAGUAAUACAUCGGAACGUGCCCAGUAGUGGGGGAUAACCCGGCGAAAGCCGGACUAAUACCGCAUACGACCUACGGGUGAAAGCAGGGGAUCGCAAGACCUUGCGCUAUCGGAGCGGCCGAUGUCAGAUUAGCUAGUUGGUGGGGUAAAAGCCUACCAAGGCGACGAUCUGUAGCUGGUCUGAGAGGACGACCAGCCACACUGGGACUGAGACACGGCCCAG